This 957-nucleotide unclassified non-coding RNA is filed under the name Hevea brasiliensis (rubber tree). The record is from RNAcentral. Lineage: Eukaryota; Viridiplantae; Streptophyta; Magnoliopsida; Malpighiales; Euphorbiaceae.
GCGGCAAUUCAACUUGAUAGGAGACCUUUCCCACCUUCUUAGUGAUAGGAAAUGGCCCAUCAUAUCUUCGUACCAACCCCUUGUGCACUUGUCUAUAGGCUUUGAAUUGCUGGGGUGGCAACUUCACCAUGACAAGAUCACCAACUUGAAACUCCAAAGGCCUUCUCUUCUUGUCAGCCCACUUUUUCAUCUUCUUGGAGGCCUUAUCCAAGUAUACCUUAGCAAUAUAAAGCUGUUCUUGCCAACCUUUCGCCCAUUUGUAAGCCGAAGGACUCACCCCCGUAUACCCCCUAGCACCGCAUGCUAUUGCUACUCUGACUACGAGAGCUAGAAGCCUCUAAUAAGGCUGCUGCUUUCAUGCUUUUCACUGACUGGCGUGGCUAUUACAACUACUGCUAGCUGAUCCAUUCAAAGACCGGGAUUCCUGACCUUACUACUAUUAGAAAACUACCCAACACCCCUUGCUGCUCUCGCUGCACCAUCUGUUGUCCGCUGCUUGGCUUGCUCUUUGAAGCAAAAGGACGAAGAAGAGCGGGAAGAGAAGAGCAGCACCCUAAUUCCUAUGUUAUAGCCUUCGUUCCCUGGUCAUAUCUCUUUCUUUUGUGAAAUAAGAACGUAUUUACAUCUACUCCCAACGCCCAUACCCUAGUCUGGUUACUUCACAAGUAAGUUCCUCUACCUCGGGCUAUCUCAGGAAAAAGUUGGGAAUUUAAAUACCUACAUCCGAUCUAAUGGCACCUUUCGCCCUUAGGUUUCCCCUCGGUGAUUCUUUCUUCACUUCCUUGCUUGCAGCUUAUUAUUUAACAUCCUAUUAUGUGUUGGGCUUUCUUCUCAGACGUCUUCUCUUUCCCUUCUUUGCCCAACUAAAAGAGCUAAAGCCGGGAGCAAGUAUUCCUCUUUCGGACUCCUUUUUCGCUCCUCUAUUCGCCUUCUCCGAUCUAACAACUGGCUUCUGAG